GAUGAACGCUGGCGGCGUGCCUAAUACAUGCAAGUCGAGCGAACGGACGAGACGCUUGCUUCGCUGAUGUUAGCGGCGGGCGGGUGAGUCACACGUGGAUAACCGACCUAUAAGACUGGGAUAAGUUCGGGAAACCGGAGCUAACACCGGAUAAUAUUGUGAACCGCAUGGUUCAAAGGUGCACGAGGUACUUGCUGACCCUAGUACGGGUAUCCUGGCUGCAUUAGCUAGUUGGUAAGGUAACGGCUUACCAAGGCAACGAUGCAUAGCCGACCUGAGAGGGUGAUCGGCCACACUGGAACUGAGACACGGUCCAGACUCCUACGGGAGGCAGCAGUAGGGAAUCUUCCGCAAUGGGCGAAAGCCUGACGGAGCAACGCCGCGUGAGUGAUGAAGGUCUUCGGAUCGUAAAACUCUGUUAUUAGGGAAGAACAUAUGUGUAAGUAACUGUGCACAUCUUGACGGUACCUAAUCAGAAAGCCACGGCUAACUACGUG
This 497-nucleotide ribosomal RNA is filed under the name uncultured bacterium. RNAcentral's name for it is "partial 16S ribosomal RNA". It matches the Rfam family "Bacterial small subunit ribosomal RNA", at positions 28 to 507 of the family's 1533-position model. The record is from RNAcentral.